UUACGGCCACACCACAUUGAAACACCGGUUCUCUUACGAUCACCGAAGAUAAGCAACGCCGAGCCUGGUCAGUACCAAGAUGCGUGACCACUUGGGAAUACCAUCUGC
Non-coding RNA from Acanthosepion pharaonis, 108 nucleotides. Lineage: Eukaryota; Metazoa; Mollusca; Cephalopoda; Sepiida; Sepiidae. The record is from the annotation of a GenBank genome assembly.